This 2814-nucleotide ribosomal RNA is filed under the name Microcalicium disseminatum. RNAcentral describes it as "partial 18S ribosomal RNA". The stretch from base 1 to 2144 matches the Rfam family "Eukaryotic small subunit ribosomal RNA". Lineage: Eukaryota; Fungi; Ascomycota; Lecanoromycetes; Pertusariales; Microcaliciaceae. The record is from RNAcentral.
CGAAUGGCUCAUUAAUCAGUUAUCGUUUAUUUGAUAGUACCUUACUACUUGGGAUAACCGUGGUAAUUCUAGAGCUAAUACAUGCUAAAAGCCCCGACUCACGGAGGGGUGUAUUUAUUAGAUAAAAAACCAAUGCCCUUCGGGGCUCCCUGGUGAUUCAUAAUAACUCAACGAAUCGCAUGGCCUCGCGCCGGCGAUGGUUCAUUCAAAUUUCUGCCCUAUCAACUUUCGAUGGUAGGAUAGUGGCCUACCAUGGUGGCAACGGGUAACGGGGAAUUAGGGUUCUAUUCCGGAGAGGGAGCCUGAGAAACGGCUACCACAUCCAAGGAAGGCAGCAGGCGCGCAAAUUACCCAAUCCCGACACGGGGAGGUAGUGACAAUAAAUACUGAUACAGGGCUCUUUCGGGUCUUGUAAUUGGAAUGAGUACAAUUUAAAUCCCUUAACGAGGACCAAUUGGAGGGCAAGUCUGGUGCCAGCAGCCGCGGUAAUUCCAGCUCCAAUAGCGUAUAUUAAAGUUGUUGCAGUUAAAAAGCUCGUAGUUGAACCUUGGGCCCGGCCUACCGGUCCGCCUCACCGCGUCCACUGGCUCGGCCGGGCCUUUCCUUCUGGGGAGCCGCAUGUCCUUCACUGGGCGUGUCGGGGAACCAGGACUUUUACUUUGAAAAAAUUAGAGUGUUCAAAGCAGGCCUAUGCUCGAAUACAUUAGCAUGGAAUAAUGAAAUAGGACGUGCGGUUCUAUUUUGUUGGUUUCUAGGACCGCCGUAAUGAUUAAUAGGGAUAGUCGGGGGCAUCAGUAUUCAACAGUCAGAGGUGAAAUUCUUGGAUUUGUUGAAGACUAACCACUGCGAAAGCAUUUGCCAAGGAUGUUUUCAUUAAUCAGUGAACGAAAGUUAGGGGAUCGAAGACGAUCAGAUACCGUCGUAGUCUUAACCAUAAACUAUGCCGACUAGGGAUCGGGCGGCGUUGUUAUUUUGACCCGCUCGGCACCUUACGAGAAAUCAAAGUCUUUGGGUUCUGGGGAGAGUAUGGUCGCAAGGCUGAAAUUUAAAGACAUUGACGGAAGGGCACCAGCAGGCGUGAAACCAUCCGGGCGUGUCCCGGCAGCUCCGCGCCUUGAAACGGGCCACCCCCACGGGCUGGGGUGCGCUGGAGCCCUUGCAUCACUUGGACCCGUUGCCCUGCUGCAGCAGGCACCGCACCCAGCGUGUGGGAAGCCUCCCGGUUGUCCGCCGGGAGUCACCCGCAGCCGGUUCGAGUCUCGGUGCCCUUGCACCGGGCCUGCCCGGUUCAGAGAAUAGACGGGUGCGGGUUUUCAGGCCCGCCACGGCGAGGGUACCAAGUUGGCAUUGGCUACCCUUCCCAUGCGUCCCCCCGGUCCGCCUGGGCCUGGCGCCCUCGACUGGGCCGGCCGGGUGGGGACGUGGGAGGAUUCGAAAGCAGAAGAUGUAUUCCUUCCCGGCAGUAAUGCCUCACUGGGACCCCAGGGAGCCUGCGGCUUAAUUUGACUCAACACGGGGAAACUCACCAGGUCCAGACACUUUAAGGAUUGACAGAUUGAGAGCUCUUUCUUGAUCAAGUGGUUGGUGGUAACGUAUGAUGUUGCACCCCCUUUGAAAGGGGUGCCGCCAUGUGCCAUCCAGAGCGGCCGCGGCAGUGCCUGGAAACAGGUAUCCUGCCCGGCCAGCUAGCCCUCGCCAGCGCGCAAGAGGCAACAUCUCCCCCGUGCUGGAAGCCACCAGGUCCCUCUGGUGGUAUCAGCAGCCGGUGCAUCCCCAGGGGCCAUCCUCUGGGCGCUGCUCUGGCUCACAGACUAAGCGGAGAUGGGCUCACCUGCCUGCGUUCAGGGAGUUGCAGAUAUAGACGAACCCGCGGGCGCAAGCCUGACGGUAGCGUGGCAUGGCCGUUCUUAGUUGGUGGAGUGAUUUGUCUGCUUAAUUGCGAUAACGAACGAGACCUUAACCUGCUAAAUAGCCCGGCCCGCUUCGGCGGGUCGCUGGCUUCUUAGAGGGACUAUCGGCUUAAGCCGAUGGAAGUUUGAGGCAAUAACAGGUCGUACUUUUCCGUGUGCACACAAGUAUGUCCACAGCCUGUUGCCGCUGCUGGAGAUUACCAUGGCAUGGCCGGCGGUUCACGUUGUUCGUGGCCGGCGGCCCCUAGGUCUUCUCACGCAGCUGCUCCGCCGGAGGGUUCUCUCUGGCGGGGUGACACCACUGGUACAGUGAAGAUCGUUGCUGGUCAGCGGUCAAUACUGUGGUGAAGGCGGAUGGGUGGGCCCCAUCUGCCUCAUUGCAACGCGCGGCAAGUGGUGGCCUCGCAGUCUGCUGUGGGGUUCAGGUACGCGCUUCCACAUUCCCAGGGGCAACCCUGUUCUGCCAUGUUCCUCCAGGCCCUCCGCCUGCUGGAACAGGGCCGAAAGGAUUCUGUACGGUAGGCCGCCUGCAGGCUCCUAUCCGGUGUGAGCUGUGAUGCCCUUAGAUGUCCUGGGCCGCACGCGCGCUACACUGACAGAGCCAGCGAGUCCACUGCCUUGGCCGAAAGGUCUGGGUAAUCUUGUUAAACUCUGUCGUGCUGGGGAUAGAGCAUUGCAAUUAUUGCUCUUCAACGAGGAAUGCCUAGUAAGCGCAAGUCAUCAGCUUGCGUUGAUUAACUCCCUGCCCUUUGUACACACCGCCCGUCGCUACUACCGAUUGAAUGGCUCAGUGAGGCCCUCGGACCGACGCAGGGAGUGCGGCAACGCUCACCCAGCGCCGGAAAGUCCGUCAAACUCGGUCAUUUAGAGGAAGUAAAAGUCGUAACAAGGUUUCCCCUGGGAG